Molecule: ribosomal RNA, 301 nt
Filed under: uncultured bacterium
Lineage: Bacteria
Description: partial 16S ribosomal RNA
Rfam family: Bacterial small subunit ribosomal RNA
Source: RNAcentral
CAGUCGCCGCGGGAAUACAGAGGGUGCGAGCGUUAAUCGGAUUUACUGGGCGUAAGGCGUGCGUAGGCGGCUUCUUAAGUCGGAUGUGAAAUCCCUGAGCUUAACUUAGGAAUUGCAUUCGAUACUGGGAAGCUAGAGUAUGGGAGAGGAUGGUAGAAUUCCAGGUGUAGCGGUGAAAUGCGUAGAGAUCUGGAGGAAUACCGAUGGCGAAGGCAGCCAUCUGGCCUAAUACUGACGCUGAGGUACGAAAGCAUGGGGAGCAAACAGGAUUAGAUACCCCAGUAGUCCCUGUCUCUUAUAC